Molecule: transfer RNA, 70 nt
Filed under: Salinibacter ruber
Lineage: Bacteria; Pseudomonadati; Rhodothermota; Rhodothermia; Rhodothermales; Salinibacteraceae
Description: tRNA-Ser
Source: RNAcentral
AGGGGUGGCAGAGCCUGGUCGAAUGCACCGGUCUUGAAAACCGGCGGGCCUCGAGGUCAAAUCGACCCUA